This 1451-nucleotide long non-coding RNA is filed under the name Felis catus (domestic cat). Its description in RNAcentral is "lncRNA (ENSFCAG00000048985.1)". Lineage: Eukaryota; Metazoa; Chordata; Mammalia; Carnivora; Felidae. The record is from RNAcentral.
UCUUUUGUAGAACCUGAUUGUAACCUGGACUGAAAAAAUGUCUCUGUAAGCUAACAUGGUAGACCCUCAUUGUCCCGUUGGUCUUGGGGAACAAACAGGCAUAAGUAUGUGUUGUGUUGUUAUCGUGAGAUGUUACAUGUCCCUCAGGAAUGUCCAAAGUGAGCAGAGCUACUAGAUGACUUAUCAAGAUGUUCAGACUCCACUGCUAAAUUCAUCUUCUCUCAGUGACUGGUUUAUCCCCGUGUUCAGGAACAGAACUGCCUUCAACCUACAACUCAUUAGCAUUUGUUCCAUUAACAAAUGGAUCUCCUCAUGAAUGUUUUGUGCCCAACGACAGGAGAGUCCAAUCUAAGCUAGCCAGGCAGAAGAUAGGGAAUCAUUGCUGGUUUAUGUUUCUGCUCUUUCUAAUUCAGUUGUCUACCGCAUGCAGACAUCCCCUCCCUUGACUCCUGGAUGGCUAAAGCCAUUUUUGCCUUGUCUCAUUUCUCUGCCUACACAAAGACACCUUCCCCCAUAGAUCUUAACUAGAGUCUACCGUCCUUGGACAUUUUCUGCAGAUGCAGGCUCCGUUCUGCCAUUUUGUCCCCACCCGCAUCUAGCUCUCCCUCAUACCUAGAGUCCAUUUUUUGUAUGUUGUCCUUCAUUAGGACAGUUGACAGCUUUACACCAAAGCUGAAGUCUCAUUUAAUCCUAAGCAAGGGGGCUAGAGGAGAACUAAAGUCCCCUUCCCAUAACAAAGGACAUAGGUCACCGGGAGGAUGAAGGUAUCUAACAGAACCUGCUCACCUUUCAGGGUUUAAAUUAUGAUCAGGCCUAAGAAGCUCCCUAUUGCGACUGAGUGUAUUUGCAUAGACAUAUCAGUUCCAAUAAAAGCAGCUGUUCCACUGAGGCAUCCUGAGAAGACUUUUGUCAUUCCCUCUCAUUUCUGUGGAUGGAUUUUCUAAUGUGGUGAAUAAUAGAGAAAAUACACACACACACACACACACCGAAAGAGCGUCGGCAGCCGGGACAGAGACCUCCCACCUCGGCCCCACGUAAGCCACCAGGUCCCACAGAUCUUGGCGUCCCGACCCCACUCCCUCUGCCCUGCUCAGGCAGGGUCCCCUCCUCGCAACAGGCCCCGCUAGUCUCUCCUGCAGGCGCUCCUCGCGUGGCUGCCUCGCCCCACAGAAUCAUCUGCUUCAAUGUUUUUCUUCCCUUUUUUCCCCCUAAGAUUUUAUUUUUAAGUAAUCGCUAUACCCAAGGUGGGGCUGGAACUCACGACCCUAACAUCAAGAGUCACAGGCUCUUCCGACUGAGCUAGCAGGUGCCCCUCAAUGUUCCUUCUUGAUGUUUGUGAGAAUUAGGUAGAUCAUGUUCUAAAAGAAUAUCUCAAACUAAAAAGCAAUACCACGCUUAACGGUAAAACAAUAGAUUACUAAGAAAAAUAAUAAAUUAGAAAUAAAGAAGCA